RNAcentral lists this ribosomal RNA (408 nucleotides) under uncultured bacterium. RNAcentral's name for it is "partial 16S ribosomal RNA". It matches the Rfam family "Bacterial small subunit ribosomal RNA", at positions 28 to 526 of the family's 1533-position model. The record is from RNAcentral.
GACGAACGCUGGCGGCGUGCUUAACACAUGCAAGUCGAACGAAGUGGCGAACGGGUGAGUAACGCGUAAUAAACCUGCCCUUCAGAGGGGGACAACAGUUGGAAACGACUGCUAAUACCGCAUACUGAAGGAGGGGAUUGUGUCUGAUUGGCUAGGUGGAGGGGUAACGGCCCACCAAGGCGAUGCUCAGUAGGCGGUCUGAGAGGAAGAACGGCCAAAUUGGGACUGAGACACGGCCCAGACUCCUACGGGGGGCAGCAGUUGGGAAUCUUCGGCAAUGGACGGAAGUCUGGCGGAGCAACGCCGCGUGAGUGAUGACGGCCUUCGGGUUGUAAAGCUCUGUUAAUCGGGACGCGGUACCGGAAGAGAAAGCCACGGCUAACUACGUGCCAGCCGCCGCGGUAAUAC